RNAcentral lists this ribosomal RNA (571 nucleotides) under Aspergillus flavus. Its description in RNAcentral is "eukaryotic LSU rRNA". The stretch from base 217 to 370 matches the Rfam family "5.8S ribosomal RNA". The record is from RNAcentral. Lineage: Eukaryota; Fungi; Ascomycota; Eurotiomycetes; Eurotiales; Aspergillaceae.
GGUUUCCGUAGGUGAACCUGCGGAAGGAUCAUUACCGAGUGUAGGGUUCCUAGCGAGCCCAACCUCCCACCCGUGUUUACUGUACCUUAGUUGCUUCGGCGGGCCCGCCAUUCAUGGCCGCCGGGGGCUCUCAGCCCCGGGCCCGCGCCCGCCGGAGACACCACGAACUCUGUCUGAUCUAGUGAAGUCUGAGUUGAUUGUAUCGCAAUCAGUUAAAACUUUCAACAAUGGAUCUCUUGGUUCCGGCAUCGAUGAAGAACGCAGCGAAAUGCGAUAACUAGUGUGAAUUGCAGAAUUCCGUGAAUCAUCGAGUCUUUGAACGCACAUUGCGCCCCCUGGUAUUCCGGGGGGCAUGCCUGUCCGAGCGUCAUUGCUGCCCAUCAAGCACGGCUUGUGUGUUGGGUCGUCGUCCCCUCUCCGGGGGGGACGGGCCCCAAAGGCAGCGGCGGCACCGCGUCCGAUCCUCGAGCGUAUGGGGCUUUGUCACCCGCUCUGUAGGCCCGGCCGGCGCUUGCCGAACGCAAAUCAAUCUUUUUCCAGGUUGACCUCGGAUCAGGUAGGGAUACCCGCU